RNAcentral lists this ribosomal RNA (570 nucleotides) under Scedosporium apiospermum. RNAcentral's name for it is "eukaryotic LSU rRNA". The stretch from base 149 to 302 matches the Rfam family "5.8S ribosomal RNA". Lineage: Eukaryota; Fungi; Ascomycota; Sordariomycetes; Microascales; Microascaceae. The record is from RNAcentral.
CAUUGUGACCUUACCUAUGUUCUGUUGCCUCGGCGGCGUCGGUCAGCGCCCCUCUGAAAAGAGGACGAUGCCCCUCCCGCCGGCAGCACCAAACUCUUGAAUUUUACAGCGGAUUACAGUUCUGAUUUGAAAACAAAAAACAAGUUAAAACUUUCAACAACGGAUCUCUUGGUUCUGGCAUCGAUGAAGAACGCAGCGAAAUGCGAUAAGUAAUGUGAAUUGCAGAAUUCAGUGAAUCAUCGAAUCUUUGAACGCACAUUGCGCCCGGCAGUAAUCUGCCGGGCAUGCCUGUCCGAGCGUCAUUUCAACCCUCGAACCUCCGUUUCCUUAGGGAAGCCUAGGGUCGGUGUUGGGGCGCUACGGCGAGUCCUCGCGACCCCCGUAGGCCCUGAAAUACAGUGGCGGUCCCGCCGCGGUUGCCUUCUGCGUAGUAAGUCUCUUUUGCAAGCUCGCAUUGGGUCCCGGCGGAGGCCUGCCGUCAAACCACCUAACAACUCCAGAUGGUUUGACCUCGGAUCAGGUAGGGUUACCCGCUGAACUUAAGCAUAUCAAUAAGCGGAGGAAAAGAAA